AAAUAAUAAGAAUAUAUUUUCCUUCUUCUCUUGGGCUUCAUUAUUUUUGUGAUUCGUUUUUUACAGAUUAUUCCAUCAAUAACUCAAGCAAUGUGAUGAAAAAUUAUUUUCAAAAAGUGCAUGUGAGGCACAGGUGUUGUUGUUACCCGUUUGGAAUCGCCAUCCUUACUGUGUGGCUUCCAAACGUUAUUCUUUUCUUGGUGACUGAUGUGAGAGUCGGCGAAUGAGGGAGCAGAGUUGGGUCUUGUGAGCGCAGUUUAGCAACUGACU
Hippocampus comes (tiger tail seahorse) is the source of this 270-nucleotide long non-coding RNA. RefSeq lists it as uncharacterized. The transcript is spliced from 2 exons. The record is from RefSeq and is a predicted model, not a curated record. Lineage: Eukaryota; Metazoa; Chordata; Actinopteri; Syngnathiformes; Syngnathidae.